Long non-coding RNA from Sander lucioperca (pikeperch), 547 nucleotides. RefSeq lists it as uncharacterized. Lineage: Eukaryota; Metazoa; Chordata; Actinopteri; Perciformes; Percidae. The transcript has 7 exons. The record is from RefSeq and is a predicted model, not a curated record.
CUGCGGCGCAUUUAAGAGAGGUCGGAUCCGGAAGUCCAUCCUCUUGCCUUGGAGGAGACACAACGAUGAGCAGAGACGAGCGUUGCUCAGCAUAACAUGAGAAAACUAAGAAGACUGCAUCAUGUUUAGUCUUCAUAACGACGGUGUGUGGAUGAAGAUGGAACAUUUUAUCUGAUUGGUACACCUGAUAAGAUGUCGAGUCACCAUUGUCUACUAUAGAUGGCCAAAUAUUGGUUUUCACCGUGUGGACCUUAAGCUGCUUCAGAAGUCACCCUGUGGUCAGGCACAUGCACCCAAUUUAAUCCUUUGUCUCUUGUGCUGAUCUGGAGAUGAGCAGUUGGUGCAGCAGUGGAACAAAAACGGUGUCUGCUUCAUCUUAUGUGGUUACAGGAGCAGCUGGCCGAUCAGAACGUAUUACGGGGUAGCCUCAUUUGAAAGUGUUGCCGGAGCUGAUGGAUGGCCAGUUGGAGGAAAUCUGGAGAUUUGGGUUUUUUUGGGGGGUGAUGCCCCAUCAUUAAAAAUCUUAUUGAAUCAAUGUUUCCCUGCA